GACGAACGCUGGCGGCGUGCCUAAUACAUGCAAGUAGAACGCUGAAGGAAGGAGCUUGCUCUUUCUGGAUGAGUUGCGAACGGGUGAGUAACGCGUAGGUAACCUGCCUGGUAGCGGGGGAUAACUAUUGGAAACGGUAGCUAAUACCGCAUAAAAUUGAUUAUUGCAUGAUAGUCAAUUAAAAGGUGCAACUGCACCACUACCAGAUGGACCUGCGUUGUAUUAGCUAGUUGGUGGGGUAACGGCUCACCAAGGCGACGAUACAUAGCCGACCUGAGAGGGUGAUCGGCCACACUGGGACUGAGACACGGCCCAGACUCCUACGGGAGGCAGCAGUAGGGAAUCUUCGGCAAUGGACGGAAGUCUGACCGAGCAACGCCGCGUGAGUGAAGAAGGUUUUCGGAUCGUAAAGCUCUGUUGUAAGAGAAGAACGAGUGUGAGAGUGGAAAGUUCACACUGUGACGGUAUCUUACCAGAAAGGGACGGCUAACUACGUG
Molecule: ribosomal RNA, 497 nt
Filed under: uncultured bacterium
Lineage: Bacteria
Description: partial 16S ribosomal RNA
Rfam family: Bacterial small subunit ribosomal RNA
Source: RNAcentral